RNAcentral lists this long non-coding RNA (10222 nucleotides) under Triticum aestivum (bread wheat). Its description in RNAcentral is "long non-coding RNA (TAES_LNC013258)". The record is from RNAcentral. Lineage: Eukaryota; Viridiplantae; Streptophyta; Magnoliopsida; Poales; Poaceae.
AAGACAAUUGUGACGCCCGGAUAAUCAAGCUAGAGUAAACCUCUGCUAAUGAUGCCACGUCACCUCGAUUACUGUUGCUAAUCCCGCGUUGGAUCAAAACUGUUCAAAUUCAAAUUUUCGUCAAACAUCAAAAAAUUUCAAACAUUAAAGUAAAAUGUUCUGAGUGUGCCAAUUAAUGCAUAGGUAUUUAUGGUGAAGAAACCACGUUUUUACAGGAUGUCUAAAUAAUUGAAAAUGAAUUAAAACAGUAGAGAAAAUAAAGAAAAAGGAAAAUAAUAGAAAUAGAAAACAAAACUACAAAAUAAAAAUAAAAAGAGAAGAGGCCCCCUGGCCAACUGGGCCACCACGCACCAGGCCAGCCCAACCGACCACACCCCCCACACCCUUAUCCCCUCUCACACCCCACCCGAAACCCUAUCCACUCCCCACUUCCCCCACCUCGCUCCCCCACUCCCCCCCUCGAUUGGAUCUGGAUCGGGAGGAGCCCGAUCCCCUCGCCCCUCCACCCCCGAUGCUGACGCCUCNNNNNNNNNNNNNNNNNNNNNNNNNNNNNNNNNNNNNNNNNNNNNNNNNNNNNNNNNNNNNNNNNNNNNNNNNNNNNNNNNNNNNNNNNNNNNNNNNNNNNNNNNNNNNNNNNNNNNNNNNNNNNNNNNNNNNNNNNNNNNNNNNNNNNNNNNNNNNNNNNNNNNNNNNNNNNNNNNNNNNNNNNNNNNNNNNNNNNNNNNNNNNNNNNNNNNNNNNNNNNNNNNNNNNNNNNNNNNNNNNNNNNNNNNNNNNNNNNNNNNNNNNNNNNNNNNNNNNNNNNNNNNNNNNNNNNNNNNNNNNNNNNNNNNNNNNNNNNNNNNNNNNNNNNNNCGGACAACCCCAUCGCCCACGCCGUCGCUGCUCCAUCCUCGGCUCCUCCUCGCCGGCUCCACCAACCCUCACCGCUCGUUUCCUAGAUCGGGGCGACCACGCCCCCGACCCUGUCGACGUCGCCGCCGACGCCACCGCCCCGGAUCGCCAUCGCUCGGAGCCACCUCACCGGACGCCAUCGCCGAACUGCCUCCCCGUCGUCCUCUCCAUCGCCUACUCGUCCCCGUCGUCGCUCGCGUCGUCCCCGAAGACCUCCUCGCCCCCCCGCUGCCCCGUCCCUACAAAUCCUGGUGAGGCCACGGCCUCCGCCCUCCUCCUUCCCCUGUCCCCGCGCCGUCCGUGCCUCCCUCGGUGCGCCACCGCGCACGGACGCGUGCUCGCCACCCACCUGCGUCGCUCUUUCGCGAAACUCCCCUGCUGCUGCUCUGCACAGCCCCGACAUGCCGCCCCCGCUUGCCUCCUGUUGCGGCCCGUCCCCGCGGCCACCGGCCCGCUCGCCCCGUGCCCCGCCUCCACCUCUGGCCCCGCGGGCCAUCGCCGCGCCGGCGGCCAACUUCGGCGCCCAUCCUGGGCUCUCUCCUUCCCGCUGCCACCCCGUUCAGCCACCACAUCCACCGCGGUAGCCCCGCUCCGCCCGGCUCUGCCCCAGCGCCCGUUCGGGCUGCCGACGCCCGCGCCCGCUAAUGGCCAGAUGGGGCACUUACGAUUGGGCCCCGCCCCCUGUAUCUAUGACGAAUGGGCCCAUGCCCCUGUACUGUUUAGAACAGAAAUAAAAAUAAAAUAAUAAAAAUAAUAUUAAUUAAUUAACUUAAUCAACAAUGUUUAAUUAAACCUAAUCAUCUAAUUAUUCUAAUUAAACUUGUUUAGUUAAUCCCAUACAAUGACAGUGGGACCUACAUGUCAGUUUGACUAAGUCAACUGACUGGUUGACUGAUGACAUCACGCUGACAUCAUAAUGGCAUUUUCUAAAUUAAAUUUAUUCUGGUAAUUCUAAAAAUCAACUAAAACUUUGGAAAUUAAUAUAAAAUAAUCCGUAACUCGGAUGAAAAUACUUUGUACACAAAAGUUGCUCAGAACGACGAGACGAAUCCGGAUACGCAGUCUGUUCGUUCACCACACAUCCCUAGCAUAGCGAACACGCAACUUUCCCCCUACGGUUCAUCUGUCCGGAAACGCUGAACACCGGGAAUACUUUCCCGGAUGUUUUCCCCCUUCGCUAGUAUCACCUAUCCCUGCGUUAGAUCACCCCUGGCACCGCGUAUUGCCUUGUUAUAUUUUGUGAUGCUUUGUUUGCUCUGUAUUCAUUGUUUCUUCCCCUCUUCUCUCCGGUAGACUACGAGACGGACGUCGUUGCUGCCUUGAUCGACUACGUUGUUGACGACCCCUCCUUGCGAGAGCAACCAGGCAAGCCCCCCCUUGAUCACCAGAUAUCGCCUAUUCUUCUCUAUACUGCUUGCAUUAGAGUAGUGUAGCAUGUUACUGCUUUCGGUUAAUCCUAUUCUGCUGCAUAGCCUGUCAUUGUUGCUACAGUUGUUAACCUUACUUGCUAUCCUACUGCUUAGCAUAGGAUGCUAGUGUUCCAUCAGUGGCCCUACACUCUUGUCCGUCAGCCAUGCUAUACUACUGGGCCGUGAUCACUUCGGGAGGUGAUCACGGGUAUAUACUAUAUACUUUAUAUACAUGACACAUGUGGUGACUAAAGUCAGGUCAGCUCGUUGAGUACCCGCAUGUGAUUAUGAUGAGGGGGCUGAAAGGACAGGUGGCUCCAUCCCGGUAGAGGUGGGCUGGGUUCUUGACGGCCCCCGACUGUUACUUGGCGGAGCGACAGGGCAGGUUGAGACCACCUAGGAGAGAGGUGGGCCUGGCCCUGGUCGGCGUCCGCGGAUACUUAAAAAUAACACGCUUAACGAGUUCUUGGUAUUUGAUCUGAGUCUGGCCAUUUGGCCUAUACGCACUAACCAACUACGUGGGAAAGUUAUGGGCACUCGACGUCGUGGUAUCAGCCGAAGCCUUCGUGACGUCAGCGACUGAGCGGCGCGCGCCGGAUUGGAACGUAAGCCUGCUCUUGUAUUAAGGGGGCUAGUUCUGCUUCCGGCCGCGUACGCAACGUGCAGGUGUGCAAUGGGCGAUGGGCCCAGACCCCUACGCGCAUAGGAUUUAGACUGGCGUGCUGAUCUUCCACGGCCGGGCAUGACCCAGAAAAGUGUGUCCGGCCAAAUGGGAUCGAGCGUGUUGGGUUAUGUGGUGCACCCCUGCAGGGAAGUUUAUCUAUUCAAAUAGCCGUGUCCCUCGGUAAAAGGACGACCCGGAGUUGUACCUUGACCUUAUGACAACUAGAACCGGAUACUUAAUAAAACACACCCUUCCAAGUGCCAGAUAUAACCCGGUGAUCGCUCUCUAACAGGGCGACGAGGAGGGGAUCGCCGGUAGGAUUAUGCCAUACGAUGCUACUUGGUGAACUUACUGAAGGAAAUAUGCCCUAGAGGCAAUAAUAAAGUUAUUAUUUAUUUCCUUAUAUCAUGAUAAAUGUUUAUUAUUCAUGCUAGAACUGUAUUAACCGGAAACAUAAUACAUGUGUGAAUACAUAGACAAACAGAGUGUCACUGGUAUGCCUCUACUUGACUAGCUCGUUGAUCAAAGAUGGUUAUGUUUCCUAACCAUAGACAUGAGUUGUCAUUUGAUUAACGGGAUCACAUCAUUAGGAGAAUGAUGUGAUUGACUUGACCCCUUCCGUUAGCUUAGCACUCGAUCGUUUAGUAUGUUGCUAUUGCUUUCUUCAUGACUUAUACAUGUUCCUAUGACUAUGAGAUUAUGCAACUCCCGUUUAUCGGAGGAACACUUUGUGUGCUACCAAACGUCACAACGUAACUAGGUGAUUAUAAAGGUGCUCUACAGGUGUCUCCAAAGGUACUUGUUGGGUUGGCAUAUUUCGAGAUUAGGAUUUGUCACUCCGAUUGUCGGAGAGGUAUCUCUGUGCCCACUCAGUAAUACACAUCACUAUAAGCCUUGCAAGCAUUGUGACUAAUGAGUUAGUUGCGGGAUGAUGUAUUACGGAACGAGUAAAGAGACUUUCCGGUAACGAGAUUGAACUAGGUAUCGAGAUACCGACGAUCGAAUCUCGGGCAAGUAACAUACCGUUGACAAAGGGAACAACGUAUGUUGUUAUGCGGUCUGACCGAUAAAGAUCUUCGUAGAAUAUGUUGGAACCAAUAUGAGCAUCCAGGUUCCACUAUUGGUUAUUGACCGGAGAGGUGUCUCGCUCAUGUCUACAUAGUUCUCGAACCCGUAGGGUCCGCACGCUUAACGUUACGAUGACAGUUAUAUUAUGAGUUUAUAUGUUUUGAUGUACCGAAGGUUGUUCGGAGUCCCGGAUGUGAUCACGGACAUGACGAGGAGUCUCGAAAUGGUCGAGACAUAAAGAUUGAUAUAUUGGAAGCCUAUGUUUGGACAUCGGAAGUGUUCCGGGUGAAAUCGGGAUUUUUCCGGAGUACUGGGAAGUUACCGGAACCCCCCGGUAACUUAAUGGGCCUUAGUGGGCCUAGGUGGAAGAGAGGAGAGGAGGCCAGGGCAGGGCCGUGCGCCCCUCCCCCCAGUCCGAAUAGGACAAGGAGAGGGGGCGGCGCCCCCCCUUCCUUCCUCCCCUCCACCUUUUCCCCCUUCCUCUCCUAGUCCAACAUGGAAAAGGGGGGAGUCCUACUCCCGGUAGGAGUAGGACUCCUCCUGGCGCGCCUCUCCUCCUUGGCCGGCGGCCUCCCCCUUGCUCCUUUAUAUACGGGGGCAGGGGGCACAUCUACACACACAAUUGAUCAACGAUCUUUUAGCCGUGUGCGGUGCCCCCCUCCACCAUAUUACACCUCGAUAAUAUCGUAGCGGUGCUUAGGCGAAGCCCUGUGUCGGUAGAACAUCAUCAUCGUCACCACGCCGUCGUGCUGAUGAAACUCUCCCUCAACACUCGGCUGGAUCGGAGUUCGAGGGACGUCAUCGAGCUGAACGUGUGCUGAACUCGGAGGUGCCGUGUAUUCGAUACUUGAUCGGUCGGAUCGUGAAGACGUACGACUACAUCAACCGCGUUGUGUUAACGCUUCCGCUUUCGGUCUACGAGGGUACGUGGACAACACUCUCCCCUCUCGUUGCUAUGCAUCACCAUGAUCCUGCGUGUGCGUAGGAAUUUUUUUGAAAUUACUACGUUCCCCAACACUUACCAUCUACUCUCUUCUACAUGCUGCAAGAUGGAGGUGGCCUGAAGCGUAGUCUUCGACAAGAUUAGCUAUCCCCCUCUUAUUCUGGCAUUCUGCAGUUCAGUCCACCGAUAUGGCCCUUUACACAUAUACCCAUGCAUAUGUAGUGUAGCUCCUUGCUUGCGAGUACUUUGGAUGAGUACUCACGGUUGCUUUUCUCCCUCUAUUCCCCCUUUCCCUUCUACCUGGUUGUCGAAACCAGAUGCCGGAGCCCAGGAGCCAGACGCCACAGAACGACGACGACUCCUACUACACCGGAGGUGCCUACUACUACGUUUAGGCCGCUGACGACGACCAGGAGUAGUUUAGGAGGAUCCCAGGCAGGAGGCCUGCGCCUCUUUCGAUCUGUAUCCCAGUUUGUGCUAGCCAUCUUAUGGCACCUUGUUUAACUUUAUGUCUGUACUCAGAUAUUGUUGCUUCCGCUGACUCGUCUAUGAUCGAGCACUUGUAUUCGAGCCCUCGAGGCCCCUGGCUUGUAUUAUGAUGCUUGUAUGACUUAUUUAUUUUUAGAGUUGUGUUGUGAUAUCUUCCCGUGAGUCCCUGAUCUUGAUCCUACACGUUUGCGUGUAGGAUUAGUGUAUGAUUGAAUCGGGGGCGUCACAAGUUGGUAUCAGAGCCGACUGCCUAUAGGAAUCCCCUUCCCAACUCCUUGGCCGAAGUCAAGUCUAGACAUUACAAAAACUUUUUUACUAACAUGGCUGUGUGUCUUACGGGACCACGUCGCCAUUUGGGUGGUAUUAGGAUCUUUUAUUCCUCGUCUAUACUCUGGGACUCUGAUCUCUCUACUAUUCGGGUUAAAUGAAUUUGCUAACUCUGACAUUAGGAUCUCGUGAUCGCAUCCACCCGGAGAGCCCCUUAUUGCAGAGGAUCGUCUGCUGCAUCAGAAGAUUCUGAAGAUACUCUCUGAUGUUCUCUCGAGACUAUGUGCCCGUCGCUUUUGCAAUCCCCUACCACCGAUACAUCCCUAUGGAUAAAUCCAUAAACCUGUCGUCCUUACUUUUAUUCCCAAUUAAUCUUGUUAUUACAAGAUACCUUGAAAUCCUCUCUAUUGUUCCGAGAAUAUUUUGUGCCUACUGCCUUGCAGUUCCUUGCCACCUGAAUACCCCUAUGGAUAAUUCCUCACACUUAUCGAGGAUUCAUUCAUCCCCAGUUGUUCAUGCGUUUCACAAAAUACUUCGAAAUGCCAUUCGAUCUUCCAAGAAUCCUAUACAGCUUGGUGCUCUUGAGAAUCUUGUUGCCUGCUGCAUUGUGGUUAAUUCCAUAUGCCUAGCAAUAUUCUUUGACUCCUUUGUCAUUAUCACCUUGAGUCCCUCGAUUCAAUACGUGUGUGAUUGCUCACAAUCAUCACCUGAUCCUUAGGAAUUGUCUUUCUGGCUCAGACGCCAUUCCAGAUAUGAGCUGGCUUUCUACCAAUCAAACAUUGACCGAUGGUGCCUCUAAGUCUACUCAACUUACUCGUAAUUGAUCAGGGCAUCUGAUUCUGAUACACCGAUCUGGUAUUCAUAAUUUCUUUGAGUUUAAAACUUCGAAGUAUUCAGAUAUUGCCAUAAUCUGUUGCCUUUGCAUUCUUUGUUCCUCUGGUUGUGUGCCGAUACUCACAUCAGCUCCGCUAUGGACCGUCGGAUCCUUUGUUGAAAUAUCAUCCGACAGUGUCCUUCGUAUACAAAAACCUUGAGAAGUUCUUUCCCUGAUACAUAAUGUCUUCGGUAAAUUGUAUCCUCUCCUUUUGUCACCCAUGCUCUACUAUCGAGCUUGUGUUAUUUACUAUUGAAGCUUGUGGUAUAUGUUCCCAAGAUGACCCUAAGGGUUGAACCUAUGCCUUUCCAGAUCCGGGUAAACCCGAGAGUUUUCACAAGUCAUAAUCUUCUGGAGUUUUGAUAGAUAAAAUUUAAACAUUACAACUUCUUCGAAAAAUGAGAAGUGAAUGAAAGGUUAUGCAUUGGAGAAGUGGGAGUCGACCUUGAACUUGUGUUCAUGCCCAUGGAAACAAUGUAGAUCUUAUCAUUAAAGCUUCUCUUAAAUUAAUUAUUCCCUUGGUAUAAGUUCAUCUUAUAUCUGGGAUCUGGCCUUUUGCAAUCGUGGUUCCGGCCAUGUUCUCCUUUAAAUACCAUUUCUCGAACAAGUUAAAGCACUUGUCUUAUACAAAUCAACACGCCUGCCCAACCUCUAUUAUGAUCUACCUUUGAGUAUUACCCCUGGUAUCUCGAGAAUAUCAAAGAACUGCGUUGCUUCCUAUGAGUCUUCAUCUAGUGUUGCUUCUCACUGAUUUCAGAUUUCCCCCAGGUUCUGAGUUAUUUCACUCGAGAACACUGAUAAGUGAAUCGAUUCCGCACUUCGAUUCAAUAACUCUAAGUAAUUUUCAUUGCUUACGAGUUUAAUAAUCCUUCAAGUCAUUCCUAGCCUAAUUGUCUAUAUCAUUAUUGUGCUAAAUUUUAACUGUGCUACCUGGUCCUUCUUUCCGGAGCACAAAUUUUGACGAUGAGCUAACCUUACGUCAAUCUUCCUCAUCAUAUCAUUUCACCUUAAACAUCUAGCUUGAUUUCGAGUUUGUCGUACCCUUGGUUCCUAUAGCCUUUCGCUUCAUCAUACCUUUGACUUGAUGUCGUCGCCGAUUGAUUACAUCUUCGUGGAAUCUCUCGAUAAAUGUGUCAUGAUCAUCGUCAACGUUUUAACUUCUUCCGAGAUGUACAUUGAGUUCCUGAUGAGAAAUUCCAUGCUUGCCCCCUCGAUGAUUUAUGUUAACAUCGAAAACAUUAUUGAUUUCCCUCCCAACACAAAACUUGUUCUAGUUUUGCAUUGUACCUUGAGUUCCUUGCUAUCCGACUUAUGUUAUGCUCUACCUUGGAGUAUUACCAUCGUUUAUGACAAGAAUGUCGUGAGAAUUUCACCACCUCUUAUGAAUUAUUGAUGCAAGUAAUACUUCUCACCAUCACCAUUCUUCCUUGGUCCCCGUGUUGUUUCUAAUCGGAGAACCGACAAUUGAACUAUGCUGUGUGACUUCAAAAUUCUAGCAACCCUAUUGAUUUGAAGUUAACGGUCGAUAGUUUCAUUCUAAGUCUAUUGCUUAUUUAAUCAUCAUUCAAACAUUGAUCGUGCUACCCAGUCCAGAUUUCAGGGUGCACCCUUCUAUCAUUGUUAAAUUGUGUAUGUUUUCCUCGAGCAUACAUCAUUAUACCAUUUGAUCUGACAAAUGUUAUCUCCUUUUUCACAUGAUUGUGGAAAUCCAUUUUUUGGAAUUCUCAAUGGUUUGGCGCUGAGUCCAUCAGUCACCUCCUCACCCUCUCCUUGAUUUAAUGAUGAACUCUUGUUUCGAAACUCGCUUCCAUAGUUCAUUUCCCGAGGAUCUUACAAUGUCAUCUUGUUAAUUUGUGUUGCACCUUUUCUUCUCAGGCAUCUUGAGUCUGAGAUAUGCUAACACCAAUCAGAUAUGAAUCCCAGUCAGAUGGUUGGGAUGCAUUUUCCAAGAGUUAUAAUGUUGGUCUUUAUAUGACCCGGUAAGGUGAUGUCAUGCCUAGCACACCUGGCUGGAGGGCCUAUUGUUAUAGUUCUUCCUUUUAGCAAUGUUAACCAUUCUCCCAAGAGGAAAUUGAAAGACUUAUUCUCUAAGUUGUUCCUGAUGAAUCCAUUGAGUAUCCAAAGUCCGACCUUUGCUUGAAGACUAUGUCAAUGCUAUCUCGAAGCAUGUCUGUGGUACUCCGAUUUUUGACAAGAACAUUUGAAGCCCAAUGCUAAAUGUUUUCUUGCUCAAUUAUCCAAACACCGUUGUAUGCGUAAUGUCAUGAAAUUUCCUUCCCCUUACCUAAAGAGUUUUCUACAUUAUAUCCUGUCAUGGAUAUCAUGCUCUGCUUGUCCUUGGGAAGGAUAUACCCUUGAAAUAUGUGUUUAAACACAUUUUCCUUUCCAUUGUUCUGCUUAAACCUGAUAAUCAUAUUUUCCUUUCCAUUGUUUGGUUUAACCUUUCUUGUGAUCUAUAUGAUCUAAGCAGUAAUAUUCUCCUGCUUUUGUAAACGCCUCGGUGUACAAUUCUGUCAGAGAGAACCUGUUACUUUUGUUGAUGACAUUCUGGUAACCACCGAUGGACGAGAACUUUGCCUACUGGCCCGCCUCAUUCAACGAGCAGGAAAAUGGUUCUCUUCGUCCCUUGCCCUUGGUACCGAUGUUGUUGCCGACAUAACCGACAGAGUAUCCUCUGACAUGCCUUGCUUACAUGAUCGUGCAAGAUGUCACCGUCCUUCCUACUUUUAACCCACAUGGUGGGCCCAUAACCCACAAUUCCACAGGAUCGAAACCUGACUCUCCUGUACACCUUAUUGACAAAGUUAUCCCUUGCUCUUGGUUUCGUAGGUAAUUCGCGAGCCACCUUCCUAGUGAUCUAUUCUGGUAUCAGACACAAUACUUAUUCCCGUUGCUUGAACCCCUUUCACACUUUGUUUCAGGCAUCGAACGAUUGCCUACCCAUUUGAAACUUUGGUACCAUCGUAUAUUGCACUCAACGAAUUCACUGAAAUACAACCCGUGGGGUACCUUGUGCAUUUCCCAUUGAGUUCACCGUCAGAUGCCCAACUUUGUGGAGAUGCGUUCUUCCGGAGUUUUUCCCUUUGGUCGCGUUCGUAGGACGUUGGAGAUCCCGAAGAAAGGAUGACGACUUGAUCAUGGUGACUUGAAGCAGAGAAAUGAAGGCAUCAACGAAAGGGAUCAACCUCUUCGAAAGGGCAGCCAAGACCGAGAAGACUCGUUAGGUUUUUCGCUACCAGCACCUCCCCCCCUUACUCCACCGCUUAAAUCUCGGGACGAGAUUUCUUGUAGUGGAGGAGAAUUGUGACGCAAGGAUAAUCAAGCUAUAGUAAACCUCUUCUAAUGAUGCCACGUUACCUCGAUUACUGUUGCUAAUCCCGUGUUGGAUCAAAACUGUUCAAAUUCAAAUUUGAAUUUUCGUCAAACAUCAAAAAAUUUCAAACAUUAAAGUAAAAUGUUCAGAGUGUGCCAAUUAAUGCAUAGGUAUUUAUGGUGAAGAAACCACGUUUUUACAGGAUGUCUAAAUAAUUGAAAAUGAAUUAAAACAGUAGAGAAAAUAAAGAAAAAGGAAAAGAAUAGAAAUAGAAAACAAAACUACAAAAUAAAAAUAAAAA